RNAcentral lists this ribosomal RNA (478 nucleotides) under uncultured bacterium. RNAcentral's name for it is "partial 16S ribosomal RNA". It matches the Rfam family "Bacterial small subunit ribosomal RNA", at positions 28 to 523 of the family's 1533-position model. The record is from RNAcentral.
GACGAACGCUGGCGGCAUGCCUAACACAUGCAAGUCGAGCGAGUUGAUCCCUUCGGGGUGAAGCUAGCGGCGGACGGGUGAGUAACACGUGGGCAACCUGCCUCAUAGAGGGGAAUAGCCUUCCGAAAGGAAGAUUAAUACCGCAUAAGAUUGCAUCUUUGCAUGAAGAAGCAAUUAAAGGAGUAAUCCGCUAUGAGAGGGGCCCGCGGCGCAUUAGCUAGUUGGUGAGGUAACGGCUCACCAAGGCGACGAUGCGUAGCCGACCUGAGAGGGUGAUCGGCCACAUUGGGACUGAGACACGGCCCAGACUCCUACGGGAGGCAGCAGUGGGGAAUAUUGCACAAUGGGGGAAACCCUGAUGCAGCAAUGCCGCGUGAGUGAUGACGGCCUUCGGGUUGUAAAGCUCUGUCUUCGGGGACGAUAAUGACGGUACCCGAGGAGGAAGCCACGGCUAACUACGUGCCAGCAGCCGCCGUAA